This 862-nucleotide ribosomal RNA is filed under the name uncultured bacterium. RNAcentral's name for it is "bacterial SSU rRNA". It matches the Rfam family "Bacterial small subunit ribosomal RNA", at positions 9 to 861 of the family's 1533-position model. The record is from RNAcentral.
GAGUUUGAUCAUGGCUCAGAUUGAACGCUGGCGGAAUGCUUUACACAUGCAAGUCGAACGGCAGCAUAGAGAGCUUGCUCUCUGAUGGCGAGUGGCGAACGGGUGAGUAAUAUAUCGGAACGUGCCUAGUAAUGGGGAAUAACUAGCUGAAAGGUUAGCUAAUGCCGCAUACGACCUACGGGUGAAAGCAGGGGAUCUUCGGACCUUGCGUUAUUAGAGCGGCCGAUAUCUGAUUAGCUUGUUGGUGGGGUAAUGGCCUACCAAGGCGACGAUCAGUAGCUGGUCUGAGAGGACGAUCAGCCACACUGGAACUGAGACACGGUCCAGACUCCUACGGGAGGCAGCAGUGGGGAAUUUUGGACAAUGGGGGCAACCCUGAUCCAGCCAUUCCGCGUGAGUGAAGAAGGCCUUCGGGUUGUAAAGCUCUUUCGCAAGAGAAGAAAACUUGCUAUCUAAUAAAUAGUAAGUAUGACGGUAUCUUGACAAGAAGCACCGGCUAACUACGUGCCAGCAGCCGCGGUAAUACGUAGGGUGCAAGCGUUAAUCGGAAUUACUGGGCGUAAAGCGUGCGCAGGCAGUUUUAUAAGUCAGAUGUGAAAUCCCCGAGCUCAACUUGGGAACUGCGUUUGAAACUGUAAGACUAGAGUGUGUCAGAGGGGGGUAGAAUUCCAAGUGUAGCAGUGAAAUGCGUAGAGAUUUGGAGGAAUACCAAUGGCGAAGGCAGCCCCCUGGGAUAACACUGACGCUCAUGCACGAAAGCGUGGGGAGCAAACAGGAUUAGAUACCCUGGUAGUCCACGCCCUAAACGAUGUCUACUAGUUGUUGGUGGAGUAAAAUCCAUGAGUAACGCAGCUAACGCGUG